This 1166-nucleotide long non-coding RNA is filed under the name Cyanistes caeruleus (blue tit). Its description in RNAcentral is "lncRNA (ENSCCEG00000009155.1)". The record is from RNAcentral. Lineage: Eukaryota; Metazoa; Chordata; Aves; Passeriformes; Paridae.
AAUAAAUAUUUGGGUUGAAAUACCGGUACAGAAAUAACUUUGUUUAAUAAAUUGAACUUGGUUUUGGUAAAAGGCUUCUGACUGCUGAAAGAGAAAUGUCUUUAAGUUAAAAAAAAAAGUCAUAAAAGUGUAGCCAUGAGUCCUAGCUUGGGGCAGUGCAGUUUCACUGUGGUUGCAUUUGAAAAUUGUGUGCCAAGUCCCAUUUGGGUGAAGUGAAAGAAUUAAAGAUUACCUGAAGUUGCCUGUAAUUACUCAUGUUUUAUUCAGCUCUGGAGAUUCUAUAUGAAGAGGCAAAGCACAAACAGCCUAUUUGUACAGAUCCAGGUGUUUCUCUCAAAUAGACUGAUGUAUUUAAUUGGGAACGUUUAGCUGUUUUUUCCUUAUCAUCCUUGGUGCUAUCUCUGUCUUUGACAGGCAUUUAUACCAAUUUGACUGAAAUUAUAUGUAUUUAGCAAGUGGUUUUUGUUUUAGUGAAAUGGGAAGACAUAAAAGAACGCUGAGAUUUGCCUGCUUAGUCAAAAUGCUUUGGGUAUAUUUUUUUCAGGAGAGUCCAACAAGUCCCUUUGUAAUGGAUUGAGCUUCCUUUGACAGCAGUGGAAAAAGAGCUCUCUGCAAAAAGAGCUGCUACAAGGAGAAAUCAGGAGCAGCUGACUGGCCUAUGGAACCACAUCGGGGAUGUCAUGAGCAACGUCCUCCCUGGAAUGAGAAGUGAACUGGCCCCAUGCUCCUCCUGCUUCAAAGCCCUGUGGAUUUUGGGCUCUUUGAUCCAUUCAUGGAGUGAGAAAAUGGAAGCAUCAAAGAUCUUUGCUCAUCUGAGAAGGCAAGAGGAAAAAAAAGAGGGAUGGCUGAGCAAUAGCAGCUACUGAGAAAGUGUGAUAAAGCUGUAAAUGAACUUUAGAGAUCAGCACUUGCUGUGGGUAACAGCAUCAUAUUAAUAAUGCAUUGCUAGGAACUGUCUCAUUAUCAUCAUUACUGGUCAAUGAUGUUGGCAGUCCUAAUGACAGGUGUGGAUUUGUACCCACCUUAGCCCAAAGAGGCUGCUGUGUGAAGGACUGCAUUGCUUUUGCAAAGGAGCCUUGGCUGUGGAGAGAAAGAAAGAAAAAAAAAACCUGUUGAAAAGAAAUGGUUUGAAUAAAGUAUACAAAUGGCAAAAGAAAAAUGAAAAA